This 349-nucleotide unclassified non-coding RNA is filed under the name soil metagenome. RNAcentral's name for it is "partial contains 5.8S ribosomal RNA, internal transcribed spacer 2, and large subunit ribosomal RNA". The stretch from base 1 to 119 matches the Rfam family "5.8S ribosomal RNA", at positions 35 to 154 of the family's 154-position model. The record is from RNAcentral.
GAUGUAGAACGUAGUGAAAUGCGAUAAGUAAUGCGAAUUGCAGAAUCCGUGAGUCAUCGAAUCUUUGAACGCACAUUGCGCCCUCUGGUAUUCCGGAGGGCAUGCCUGUUCGAGCGUCAUUAUCACCCCUCAAGCCCGGCUUGUUGUUGGAUGCAGCGCUUAUCCCGCUCCUCCCAAAGAUAAUGACGGCGUCUGCGACGACUCCUGUACACUGAGCUUUCGGGCACGUACACGGCUAGAAGUCCAGACCCGGUCGCCGUCCCCCCCGCGGGGACACCCAUUACCACAAGGUUGACCUCGGAUCAGGUAGGAAUACCCGCUGAACUUAAGCAUAUCAAUAAGCGGAGGA